GCGGCGUGGCGGCCGGCCGUCUCCCUUCGUCACGAGCGAGCCUCGGGGCGCGGGGUUUCCACGAUGCGUCCACCUUGACCGAAUGAWGAGUCCCGAAUACUAUACUUGGAUUAUGGGAGCGGGUGAGUUUCGUCCCCUCGAGUGGCUUCGGCUUGCGAAGGGGGGCGGCGCGCGCUGGUUACCUUAGCACGAGUUGGAACGCGUGAUCAAUCGAAAACAACUCUCAGCAACGGAUAUCUUGGCUCUUGCAACGAUGAAGAACGCAGCGAAAUGCGAUACCUAGUGUGAAUUGCAGAAUUCCGCGAAUCAUCGAGUCUUUGAACGCAAGUUGCGCCCGAGGCUUGUCCAAGGGCAUUUCCGCUAGAGCGUCACCGCGCCCCCCACCGAUCCGAUCCGCCCGCUCCCUCUKSGAGUCGAGUGGAAGUGGCCGUSCSCGGUCUSGGCCUUCGCGCCGAGUGAGAUGGGGGUCGGCCGAAAUGGAGGGAAUUGGGCCGCCGUGGUGACACAGUCCGCGAUCGGGUGAUUUUGKUSGGGACCCUCAMACCCCCUCCGACCGGAGAGGGCUGAACCGUCAAUUUUUCURAGUGCGUGGCUGCGUCCCCCAGUUGGUUGGUUACCU
This 619-nucleotide unclassified non-coding RNA is filed under the name Claopodium assurgens. Its description in RNAcentral is "sequence contains ITS1, 5.8S rRNA gene, ITS2". Lineage: Eukaryota; Viridiplantae; Streptophyta; Bryopsida; Hypnales; Leskeaceae. The record is from RNAcentral.